GAUGAACGCUGGCGGCGUGCUUAACACAUGCAAGUCGAACGAAGCACUUUAUUUGAUUUCCUUCGGGACUGAUUAUUUUGUGACUGAGUGGCGGACGGGUGAGUAACGCGUGGGUAACCUGCCUUGUACAGGGGGAUAACAGUUGGAAACGGCUGCUAAUACCGCAUAAGCGCACAGCAUCGCAUGAUGCAGUGUGCAAAGCUCCGGUGGUAUAAGAUGGACCCGCGUUGGAUUAGCUAGUUGGUGAGGUAACGGCCCACCAAGGCGACGAUCCAUAGCCGACCGGAGAGGGUGACCGGCCACAUUGGGACUGAGACACGGCCCAAACCCCUACGGGAGGCAGCAGUGGGGAAUAUUGCACAAUGGGCGAAAGCCUGAUGCAGCGACGCCGCGUGAGCGAAGAAGUAUUUCGGUAUGUAAAGCUCUAUCAGCAGGGAAGAUAAUGACGGUACCUGACUAAGAAGCACCGGCUAAAUACGUG
This 481-nucleotide ribosomal RNA is filed under the name uncultured bacterium. RNAcentral's name for it is "partial 16S ribosomal RNA". It matches the Rfam family "Bacterial small subunit ribosomal RNA", at positions 28 to 507 of the family's 1533-position model. The record is from RNAcentral.